This 433-nucleotide ribosomal RNA is filed under the name uncultured bacterium. RNAcentral's name for it is "partial 16S ribosomal RNA". It matches the Rfam family "Bacterial small subunit ribosomal RNA", at positions 29 to 507 of the family's 1533-position model. The record is from RNAcentral.
AACGAACGCUGGCGGCAUGCCUAACACAUGCAAGUCGAACGAGACCUUCGGGUCUAGUGGCGCACGGGUGCGUAACGCGUGGGAACCUGCCCUUAGGUUCGGAAUAACUCCCCGAAAGGGGUGCUAAUACCGGAUAAUGUCUUCGGACCAAAGAUUUAUCGCCUUUGGAUGGGCCCGCGUUGGAUUAGCUAGUUGGUAGGGUAAAAGCCUACCAAGGCGACGAUCCAUAGCUGGUCUGAGAGGAUGAUCAGCCACACUGGGACUGAGACACGGCCCAGACUCCUACGGGAGGCAGCAGUGGGGAAUAUUGGACAAUGGGCGAAAGCCUGAUCCAGCAAUGCCGCGUGAGUGACGAGGGCCUUAGGGUUGUAAAGCUCUUUUACCCGGGAUGAUAAUGACAGUACCGGGAGAAUAAGCUCCGGCUAACUCCGUG